UAAGGAAUCUUCCACAAUGGGGGCAACCCUGAUGGAGCAACACCGCGUGAAGGAUGAAGGCCCUCGGGUCGUAAACUUCUUUUAUAAGUGAAGAAUAUGACGGUAACUUAUGAAUAAGGGUCGGCUAACUACGUGCCAGCAGCCGCGGUCAUACGUAGGACCCAAGCGUUAUCCGGAGUGACUGGGCGUAAAGAGUUGCGUAGGCGGUCUGUAAAGCGAAUAGUGAAAUCUGGUGGCUCAACCAUCAACACAUUAUUCGAACUCGCAGACUCGAGAAUGGUAGAGGUAGCUGGAAUUUCUUGUGUAGGAGUGAAAUCCGUAGAUAUAAGAAGGAACACCAAUGGCGUAGGCAGGCUACUGGACCAUUUCUGACGCUGAGGCACGAAAGCGUGGGGAGCGAACC
RNAcentral lists this ribosomal RNA (403 nucleotides) under uncultured Candidatus Saccharibacteria bacterium. RNAcentral describes it as "bacterial SSU rRNA". It matches the Rfam family "Bacterial small subunit ribosomal RNA", at positions 355 to 774 of the family's 1533-position model. The record is from RNAcentral. Lineage: Bacteria; Candidatus Saccharimonadota.